This is a non-coding RNA of Notechis scutatus (mainland tiger snake), 179 nucleotides long. The record is from RefSeq and is a predicted model, not a curated record. NCBI's taxonomy places the organism in Eukaryota, Metazoa, Chordata, Lepidosauria, Squamata, Elapidae.
UAAAGGAAAAAUAUAUAUUCAUUAAGAAUCAUAAGAUACAACACUUUAUGAUAGUCAUAGGUUACUAAUAAGCAAUCAAAUGAUACUAGGAAACAAAUAAAACAAUAUAAAUUGUAAAUAUACAAGCAAUAUGGUUAUAGUGGGAAGAAAUAGGUACUAGGAAGAAUGAGAACAAGAAG